AUGGCAAUUGGAGUGCUAAAGCUCAAAGCACUUAAUCUAAGUGGAAAUCAGAUAUCGGGUACUAUACCUGCAGCAUUUGGGUUUAUAUCAGAGCUAACCAUCCUUGACCUCUCCUCGAAUGCGCUAUCUAGCGAGAUCCCAAAAGAUAUCAAUAAGUUGAAUUUGAACUUUUUAAACCUCUCCAUGAAUCACCUCACAGGGGAAAUUCGAACAUCAUUGCAAAACGAAGCAUAUGAGCAAAGCUUCCUCUUCAAUCCAGGCCUUUGUGUCUCAUUGAAUAAUUCCAUCCCGAAUUUUCCGAUUUGCGGGGCAAUAGCAAACACCAACAAUGAUAUCUCCAGGAGGCUUAUAGCCCUCUUUUUUGUUCUUGCAAGUAUCAUGCUUGUGGGUUUGGCAGUUGGUGGUUUCUUGCUAUUAAAGAGGAAAAAGAAUAGCCAAGAUCCUCUAUCAUGGAAGCUAACCCAGUUCCAUGCACUGCAUUUCACAGAGUAUGAUGUUCUGGGCUCUGCUCACUGGAUUGGAAGUGGCAGGUCUGGCAAGGUGUGCCGAAUUUGUGUUGUGGAUGAAGAAGGUGGUAGUAGAAUGGUGGCUGUUAAAAAGAUAUGGAACGCGCAGAACCUUGACAACAAGCUUGAGAAGGACUUCCUUGCAGAGGUCCAGAUAUUGGGUGAGAUCCAGCACACAAACAUUGCCAAGUUGCUUUGCUGCAUCUCAAGCUCAGAGGCUAAGCUUCUUGUCUACAAGUACAUGGAAAACGGUAGCUUAGACAGGUGGCUGCAUCAGAGAGAGAGAGAGAGAGUUGGUUCACUGGUGCCUUUGGAUUGGCCCACCAGAUUGCAAAUUGACAUUGACUCAGCAAGAGGUCUUUGCUAUAUGCACCAUGAUAGUUCACCCGCAAUAGUGCACUGUGAUGUCAAGUCUGCUAAUAUCCUUCUUGACCCCGAGUUCAGAGCAAAGAUAGCCGACUUCGGGCUUGCUCGGAUUCUUCUCAAAACCAGAGACCCUGGGUCAAUUUCUGCCAUAGGUGGUACCUUUGGCUACAUGGCACCAGAGUACGGAUACCGGCUUAAGGUGAAUGAGAAGGUCAACGUCUACAGCUUCGGAGUGGUCCUGUUGGAGCUCACAACAGGGAGAGUGGCAAAUGAUGGAGGCUUGGAGUAUUGCUUGGCAGAAUGGGCAUGGAGACAGUAUCAAGAAUAUGGCCUGUCAAUUGAUCUUCUUGAUGAAGACAUUCGAGAUCCAGCCAACAUUGAAGAUGCAUUUGCAGUGUCUGCGCUAGGUGUGAUCUGUACAGGUGGGCAGUCUUCAGUACGGCCAUCAAUGAAGGAUGUGUUGUACGCUCUUCUCCGAUUUCAACAUAAAUCAAGGGAAAGAAGCCUGCAGCAUGCUGUCUCCGAAGAAACAUCACUUCUAGAAUCCUAG
RNAcentral lists this ribosomal RNA (1422 nucleotides) under Triticum aestivum (bread wheat). RNAcentral's name for it is "partial small subunit ribosomal RNA". Lineage: Eukaryota; Viridiplantae; Streptophyta; Magnoliopsida; Poales; Poaceae. The record is from RNAcentral.